RNAcentral lists this transfer RNA (76 nucleotides) under Verrucomicrobiota bacterium. RNAcentral describes it as "Verrucomicrobia bacterium (freshwater metagenome) tRNA-Arg". It matches the Rfam family "tRNA". Rfam says of the family: Transfer RNA (tRNA) molecules are approximately 80 nucleotides in length. Their secondary structure includes four short double-helical elements and three loops (D, anti-codon, and T loops). Lineage: Bacteria; Pseudomonadati; Verrucomicrobiota. The record is from RNAcentral.
GCACCGGUGGCGCAAUGGAUAGCGCAUCUGACUUCGGAUCAGAGGGUUGCAGGUUCAAGUCCUGCCCGGUGCACCA